RNAcentral lists this ribosomal RNA (253 nucleotides) under uncultured bacterium. RNAcentral describes it as "partial 16S ribosomal RNA". It matches the Rfam family "Bacterial small subunit ribosomal RNA", at positions 524 to 776 of the family's 1533-position model. The record is from RNAcentral.
UACGGAGGGGGCUAGCGUUGUUCGGAAUUACUGGGCGUAAAGCGCACGUAGGCGGCUUUGUAAGUUAGAGGUGAAAGCCCAGGGCUUAACCCUGGAAUUGCCUUUAAGACUGCAUCGCUAGAAUCGUGGAGAGGUGAGUGGAAUUCCGAGUGUAGAGGUGAAAUUCGUAGAUAUUGGGAAGAACACCGGUGGCGAAGGCGGCCAACUGGACCACAACUGACGCUGAGGCGCGAAAGCGUGGGGAGCAAACAGG